UGGGGAAUAUUGCACAAUGGGCGCAAGCCUGAUGCAGCCAUGCCGCGUGUGUGAAGAAGGCCUUCGGGUUGUAAAGCACUUUCAGCGAGGAGGAAGGUGGUGAGCUUAAUACGCUCAUCAAUUGACGUUACUCGCAGAAGAAGCACCGGCUAACUCCGUGCCAGCAGCCGCGGUAAUACGGAGGGUGCAAGCGUUAAUCGGAAUUACUGGGCGUAAAGCGCACGCAGGCGGUUUGUUAAGUCAGAUGUGAAAUCCCCGGGCUCAACCUGGGAACUGCAUUUGAAACUGGCAAGCUAGAGUCUCGUAGAGGGGGGUAGAAUUCCAGGUGUAGCGGUGAAAUGCGUAGAGAUCUGGAGGAAUACCGGUGGCGAAGGCCGGCCCCCUGGACGAAGACUGACGCUCAGGUGCGAAAGCGUGGGGCAGCAAACAGGAUUAGAUACCCUGGUAGUCACGCUGUAAACGAUGUCGAUUUUGGAGGUUGUGCCCUUGAGGCGUGGCUUCCGGAGCUAACGCGUUAAAUCGACCGCC
This 528-nucleotide ribosomal RNA is filed under the name uncultured bacterium. Its description in RNAcentral is "partial 16S ribosomal RNA". It matches the Rfam family "Bacterial small subunit ribosomal RNA", at positions 355 to 873 of the family's 1533-position model. The record is from RNAcentral.